CCCCUGCGAUGACAAGGAUUAAAAGUCAGCUUGGCAUUUAGAGCUACAAUAGAUAUAAGACGGAGAGAAAUAGAUACCAUAAUCACUAUCUAACAGUUAAAACUAAUUUGAGCUUGCUUUGAUGCAAAAGAACAAGAAGCGGGUCAAGCUACAGAUAUUUUAUGUGGGAACCAUAGCUCCAAACAUGACAAGACAAACAAAAUACCACCCGCAGAGGAACUCGUAUUGUAUUUUCUACUAAUCAAACAAGCAAAUGGCUUCCAAGGUUCAUAGCCGGAAAAAAGGCUUAUGAAAGCAGAUUGGAACCCCAACAUAUAGUAGACCUUUGGUAGUUUGGCUGCUUCAGAAGGGAUGUGUGUGGUACAAACAUGGAACGAAUCAUGAUUAUAUCUCCAAAGCAAGCAAACAAAAUCUGGUAUAAAAUUGGCCUUCGCUUGUUUUGGCAUAAGCAAUAUAUUAAUGAAUAGACGUCAGAGCAAGGUGCUAAACACUGUAACAAUCUAUCGAUUCAGUUACGCCCGUAGCAAGGUGCUAAACACUGUAACAAUCUAUCGAUUCAGUUACGCCCGUAAUCUCAGGGGCUCAGAACCACCACUGGAAUAGGUAUGAACCCUAGAAAGCUUCCUAAUCUCAGGACCCCAAAUAUUCGCACUUUAAACACUAACCAAUCAAUCAUUUAGGCAAAUAGGCAGUCUACCUUGAUUCGCACAAUACGAUCAUAUAGCAUCGCUAAACAUGGUGGAAACCAGUAUGCAUAUAACAAAUAAAUUCUGUUGUUACUUAUAUCACGCCAUCGCAACAGCUCACCUCG
RNAcentral lists this long non-coding RNA (811 nucleotides) under Oryza sativa (Asian cultivated rice). Its description in RNAcentral is "long non-coding RNA (OSAT_LNC000447)". Lineage: Eukaryota; Viridiplantae; Streptophyta; Magnoliopsida; Poales; Poaceae. The record is from RNAcentral.